RNAcentral lists this unclassified non-coding RNA (211 nucleotides) under plant metagenome. RNAcentral's name for it is "partial contains small subunit ribosomal RNA, internal transcribed spacer 1, and 5.8S ribosomal RNA". The record is from RNAcentral.
UUUCCGUAGGUGAACCUGCGGAAGGAUCAUUCAUAAUGAAGUGUUUUAUGGCACUUUUUAAAAAUCCAUAUCCACCUUGUGUGCAAUGUUAGAUCUCGUCAAUCUUGGCGAGAUUUUUAUAUAUCAACUCAUUCUUUAACUAAUUUGUCUGAAAAAUAUUAUGAAUACUUAAUUCAAAAUACAACUUUCAACAACGGAUCUCUUGGCUCUC